Molecule: ribosomal RNA, 484 nt
Filed under: uncultured bacterium
Lineage: Bacteria
Description: partial 16S ribosomal RNA
Rfam family: Bacterial small subunit ribosomal RNA
Source: RNAcentral
AUUGAACGCUGGCGGCAGGCCUAACACAUGCAAGUCGAGCGGAUGAAGGGAGCUUGCUCCUGGAUUCAGCGGCGGACGGGUGAGUAAUGCCUAGGAAUCUGCCUGGUAGUGGGGGAUAACGUCCGGAAACGGGCGCUAAUACCGCAUACGUUCUGAGGGAGAAAGUGGGGGAUCUUCGGACCUCACGCUAUCAGAUGAGCCUAGGUCGGAUUAGCUAGUUGGUGGGGUAAAGGCCUACCAAGGCGACGAUCCGUAACUGGUCUGAGAGGAUGAUCAGUCACACUGGAACUGAGACACGGUCCAGACUCCUACGGGGGGCAGCAGUGGGGAAUAUUGGACAAAGGGCGAAGGCCUGAUCCAGCCAUGCCGCGUGUGUGAAGAAGGUCUUCGGAUUUUAAAGCACUUUAAGUUGGGAGGAAGGGCAGUAAGUUAAUACCUUGCUGUUUUGACGUUACCAACAGAAUAAGCACCGGCUAACUUCGUG